RNAcentral lists this ribosomal RNA (266 nucleotides) under uncultured bacterium. Its description in RNAcentral is "partial 16S ribosomal RNA". It matches the Rfam family "Bacterial small subunit ribosomal RNA", at positions 524 to 784 of the family's 1533-position model. The record is from RNAcentral.
GACGUAGGUGGCGAACGUUAUCCGGAAUUAUUGGGCGUAAAGGGUGCGUAGGCGGCAUGAUAAGUUAUUGGCGGCAAAUCGAGGCUCAACCUCGUGGAAACUGAUAAUACUGUCUUGCUUGAGUGCAGAAGAGGUUAACGGAACUCCAUGUGGAGCGGUAAAAAUGUGUAGAUAUAUGGAAGAACAUCAAUAACGGCGAAGGCAGUUAACUAUUCUGUUACUGACGUUGAGGCACGAAAGCGUGGGGGAGCAAAAAAGGGUAUAAC